Molecule: ribosomal RNA, 463 nt
Filed under: uncultured bacterium
Lineage: Bacteria
Description: bacterial SSU rRNA
Rfam family: Bacterial small subunit ribosomal RNA
Source: RNAcentral
GACGCUGGCGGCGUGCCUAACACAUGCAAGUCAACGGGGCGAUUCCUUCGGGGAUUGCUUAGUGGCGAACGGGUGAGUAACGCGUGAGGAACCUGCCUUUCAGUGGGGGGACAACAGUUGGAAACGACUGCUAAUACCGCAUAACAUGUACGGAUCGCAUGGUCUGUACAUCAAAGCUUUAUGUGCUGAAAGAUGGCCUCGCGUCUGAUUAGCUAGUUGGUGGGGGUAACGGCCCCACCAAGGCGACGAUCAGUAGCCGGUCUGAGAGGAUGAACGGCCACAUUGGGACUGAGAUACGGCCCCAGACUCCUACGGGAGGCAGCAGUGGGGAAUAUUGGGCAAUGGGGGAAACCCUGACCCAGCAACGCCGCGUGAAGGAAGAAGGCCCUCGGGUUGUAAACUUCUUUUACCAGGGACGAACAAGAUGACGGUACCUGGAGAAAAAGCAACGGCUAACUACGUG